RNAcentral lists this ribosomal RNA (253 nucleotides) under uncultured bacterium. RNAcentral's name for it is "partial 16S ribosomal RNA". It matches the Rfam family "Bacterial small subunit ribosomal RNA", at positions 524 to 776 of the family's 1533-position model. The record is from RNAcentral.
UACGUAGGUGGCAAGCGUUGUCCGGAUUUAUUGGGUUUAAAGGGUGCGUAGGUGGGAGAUUAAGUCAGUGGUAAAAGGAGGCAGCUCAACUGUUAUCGUGCCAUUGAUACUGGUUUUCUUGAGUAAAGUAGAGGUAAACGGAAUUGACAGUGUAGCGGUGAAAUGCAUAGAUAUUGUCAAGAACUCCAAUUGCGAAGGCAGUUUACUGGACUUUUACUGACACUGAGGCACGAAAGUGUGGGGAUCAAACAGG